AGAGUUUGAUCCUGGCUCAGAGCGAACGCUGGCGGCGUACUUAACACAUGCAAGUCGAACGGGGAUCGUCGGGUUAGCAAUAAUUCGGCGGUCCUAGUGGCGCACGGGUGAGUAACACGUGGGUAACCUGCCCUUGAGUUCGGGAUACCCCCUCGAAAGGGGGGCUAAUACCGGGUACGUUCCUCGGAUCGACAGGUCUGGGGAGGAAAGGUGGCGCAAGCUGCCGCUCUUGGAGGGGCUCGCGGCCUAUCAGCUAGUUGGCGGGGUAACGGCCCACCAAGGCUAUGACGGGUAGCUGGUCUGAGAGGACGACCAGUCACACGGGGACUGAGACACGGCCCCGACUCCUACGGGAGGCAGCAGUGGGGAAUUUUCCGCAAUGGGCGAAAGCCUGACGGAGUGACGCCGCGUGUGGGAC
This 418-nucleotide ribosomal RNA is filed under the name uncultured bacterium. Its description in RNAcentral is "bacterial SSU rRNA". It matches the Rfam family "Bacterial small subunit ribosomal RNA", at positions 8 to 409 of the family's 1533-position model. The record is from RNAcentral.